Molecule: long non-coding RNA, 28369 nt
Filed under: Nicotiana tabacum (common tobacco)
Lineage: Eukaryota; Viridiplantae; Streptophyta; Magnoliopsida; Solanales; Solanaceae
Description: long non-coding RNA (NTAB_LNC019238)
Source: RNAcentral
AGUAGAAGAAACCAGAAAGCUAGGGCCAAACAGAUUUGGUAAUAUAUUCCACACAAAUUUACAGCAAAAUUGGCAAUAAGGGGAUUCCCAAUUUUCUGGAAAUGUGAAUAAAAAAAUUGAAAGCGAAUUUAUAGAUUAUCCAGAGUUUGGAUUUGGUAAUCUUAUCGGAAUUUCCCUUUUUUAUUCUUACUACAUCUUCUUCUCCGUUUAAUAUUGACAAAAGAAUGUUGUUGUUUUUUUACUUUUAUGAGUUUUCAACGGAGGAGAGAGAGUAAAUUCGUGUAGAAUUGGAAAGUUCUUUUAAUUUAAUCCGAACGCGUAAAAUUGAUUUUUCUUUUCGAAGCAAAGAACUUUCCUGAUACGACCCGGGUCGCCCAGUUGCUUGAUUAGUUAUGGGUCAACAAGUUCUUUGCUCGUUAUUAGGUGUCCCAUCUUGGGUGGUCACUUUUUGGGACCGCUAGGGGAAACUUUCGGAAAUUAUUAUUAUUUGGCGGCUUAUUGCUGGCGUGGCUAUAAUUUAGCUAAUUAUAUUUCGAAACUACUAAUUAUUUGACAUGUGAUUUACAGUAUAUUCAAUUCAGAUGUAUUCGUUCUUAUAUAUUUUACAUUGUAUUCAAUUUUAACUUUAUUGAAUUCAGUUGUAUUCAAACAACAAAAAAUCAAGAAAUGAGGUGUAUACCGCUCAAUUCAAUUCAAUUCGUCUGUAUAUGUUGUAUUCAAAUUCGGCUAUAUUCAUUCUUCACUAUUUUACAUUGUAUUCAAUUUCACUGUAUGUAAUUCGAUUGUAUUCAAAUAAUAAAAAAUCACAAAAACAUUGAUAUUCAACUGUAUUCAAUUCACUAUAUUCAUUCGUAGCUGCUUCUACACUGUAUUUAAUUUACUGUAUUUAAUUCGGAUGUACUCAGACAACAAAAAUUCAAAAACAAUACAGGGAUCUGCCAUAAAAAAAUAACCUUCGGAAUACAUUAAAAAAAUUAUUUGCAUUAAAAAAUACAUAAAACACUCAAAUUUGAGUGUAUUUGUACAGAAUACAAUGUAUUUGUAUCAUUAUAUGUGAUUCAAUAGCAAAUAAGAGAAGAAAGUUCACUGGAGAAAAGGACGAAUAGUGGACAAGAAACAAAGCGUAGCAGGGCAAGUAAGAGGAUGAGGAGGAAAUAUAGAAGUAGUUAUGGUUCUGGUUACAUUACCGGUGAUGAGAUUUCUGGCUCUGUGGGAUACGAAUCUCUGCAUUGUAAAAUCUAGUCACGAUUAUAAAGAAGAAAACAGGGCAAGGAUUAGAGGGUCAAGAUUCAAAAAGCAAGUGUGUCUCACUUGUUGCCCACGUCUCGAAUAAGACAAUUCCAAUGUGUUAUUUCUAGCAAAUCACCACCCUCCUUCGUCUCCACACAUCACCACUCUCCGUCGUAUCCGCAAAUGACAACCAUCGAAUCAGGCCCAUCACCACGCACUAUCAGAUGUGAAAUCACGAAGUCGCCACCCACUUCCUGGAUCUGGAUCUAAAGUCGCGAGAUCUGGACAGCGGCCUUGCCGAGAGAGGGAAAAUGGAGAGAGAGUUGAUAGAGAAAAGAAAGGGUUGAGGGAAAGGUUGAGGGAUCACUUGUAUAUAUUUGUACUUUGCUAUAAAAUAUAAAAAGUGGUUAUAAAUAAUAAUAUUUUAAAGUAUUUUGGUUUAUAAUAAAUAGGGUGCAUUGUUUAGAUAUAACAUGUAAAAUUUUCUAUUUUAAAUUGUAAUAACAAAUUAGCCAUUGAUACGAUUAAAUUGACGUGUUUGCCUCUAACUAAAAUAUGGAACAAAACUCCAGUAAUCGAUACUGGAGUUCGAAUUGAACAUUUCCUAAGACAAAAUACAAAUUCCACGAACAAUUCUUGAUUUUUUAACUCUUACUAGUGCAGAAUUCAAGAAAAUUCAGUAAUAAUUCAUGAUUUUUGAAUUACGUUAUACUUCAGCAAUUUUUAACCUAUAACAGCUUGUUUGGAUGGUUGUUAUCUAUUGUAUUAUAUCGCGUUGGUACUUUAAAUACAAUAUUUAUUUUGAUCGUUACUUAAAUUUUAUUGUAUUAUAUCGUUAAAUACACCGUUAUGUAACGACAAAAAGUGUCACUUUGUGUAACUACGGAUUUGAUGUGAUGGCGUUGUUACCUUACUUUUUUCUCUCAUCUUACCCUUUCUUAUUAUUAAAUAAUUUUAUUUUGUCCUUUAUCCUACUUUCUUAUAUAAUAAUUCUACUAUGUGUCCUAUUUUUUCUUCGUAAUGUGGCAAAUUAUUGCUGGUGCGUGACAUCAUGAAAUGAUGACAAACGAUACAAUCUAUCUAAACGUUAUAUUCUACAAACAAUACAAUACAAUGCAUUACAAUACAAUACGAUUACAUUAUGAAACGACAUGUAACAACAAUCCAAACAAGCUGUAAAUAAAAAUUUAGGAAAAAUUAUUGGUUUUCGAACCUUUACUGCUGCAAAAUCCAAUAAAAUUCAAGAUCAGUUCAUGGUUGUUUAAUUCACAUUGUAUUUCAGCAAGUUUUAACCUUUAAAUACAAAAUUCAGGAAAAUUACUGGUAUUCUAACCUUUACUAGUGCAAAAUUUAGAAAAAUUCAUGGAGCGAUUCAUGAUUUUUGAAUUCACAUUAUACUUCUAGAUUUGUAACCUUCAAAUACAAAAUCCAUAAAAAAUAUUACUAAUUUUUGAACCUUUACUAGUGUAAAAUUCAUGAACAAUUCCUAAUUUUUUAAUUCACAUUAUACUUCAACAAUUGAGAGCUACUACUUUAGGACGUUCAAACUCCAGGAACAAUUCUUAGAUUUUAAACUUACAAAUAUUCAAAGUUCAGUAGUUGUUCCUAGAGUUGUUCCGUAUUUUUAGAUAGGGGUAUUUUUGUACAGACUUGUAUUUUCGUAUUAAUAAUGUCACGAGCCAAAAUCCCAACUAAUCGGUGCCUAACAUCCACUUGCUAGGCAAGCCGACAUUAGUUAAAGAAUUAACCGGUUCAACCAUUUUAAAAGCAUAAUAUUAAUAAUAAAAAGUUGAAGUACUAUGAAAUACAUGAAAUAAUUUCAUAAGUAACGUUGUCAAUACUAAUCCCAAAAAUUUGGAGUCACGAGUACAUGAGCGACUAGAAUACUACAAAUAUAGUCUGAAAUAAAAUACAAUUGUUUGAAAUAAGAUAAACGGUCACGUCCCGACCUUGGGGAGCGCGAGUUGUGCCUAACCGAGAUACCAGUGAAGCAUGCCUACUUGAUGUCUUCUACCCAACCUUACCCAUGAAUAAUUUAAGAAUCAAUGACAAGAGAUAGACGUGAGAGGAUAAAAUAUAAAGUACCAAGUUUCAUUACUUGUAGGGGCUUCAUUGAUAUUUACCAAAAGAUUACAAGUUCAUGCAUAUGGCAUGGAGUCUGAUUCCCGCCCGCCCCAUCGGCUAAGCUAUCUCACCCAAUUCAUGAGGGUUGACACAACAACACAAUACUACCAUGUGGACGGCAUGGCAUCCGAUCUCCGCCCGAUCGUCUAAGUCGUCUCACCACAAUGUUGUGUGGGUCGACAUGGUUCUCGCUAGCUAUCAACUCAUCCCAAUCAAGGGGAACAAUCUCAAUAUAAUAUAACGGGGAUUCACCCCUCAAUCACUCCUACACCGACACGUGUAGUUCCGGGCUUGAGCAAUUAUAACCCAGCCUUCCUCGGUAACCUAACGAUACUCCCAAAAACAUUUAUCAUAUAAAAGAAUCAUAUUUGUUUCAUAGCCUUUCAUAUUUCCUUUCAUAUCAUUGGCACUCUUGGCCACACAUGUAAAUCAUUAUUCUUGGCCCGAUGACCGUAUUUGACAUUUCAUACUCUAAUUUCUUUACUUGCCACGAAUUAUUAUAAAACAUUUAAAUACAUUUGAAAUAUUGGGAAAUUUACAGCUUCAACUCAUAAGUAUGCAAGAGCUCAAACACAUUGGAACUAAGUUCAAGGAAAAGCAUAGUGAUUUGCAUUUUGAAACAUGAAUUUAAAAUCAUAAGCCUUUGGAUAAACUAACCAUAGAAGUAGAUUUGGAAUGAUGGAAAUAGGAACUUUAUCAAACCAUAAUCAAAAUUUACAAGAAAUCUGUGAAAUUCGAUUCUAUGGAAGAAGUUUAGCCAACAUACCUCGAUUGAGCUUUUCCUUAGAAUUACUACAACGUUUCUCCUACUCUUAGUAACUUCAAUAUAUAGUAACAUCACCAAAUUUAACAAUAAUUAGGAAGGUGCCCAUAGGUUUAGCUCAUUUAGGCAUUUCUGCAACCAUCAAUUAUACAAAAUCGACUACAAAGUUCUAUGAUGGAAAUCCUUCAUCCCACAACCAAUCCCCAAGUUAAUAAUUCACCCACAUUAGUUCAACAACUUUCAUACCACCAUCAUUGGUACAUGCAUGCACAAAUGACUAACUCCUGACCCAAGAAUCAUGCCUCCCACUCCUCACAUUCAACCCCAAAUUCGAAAUUGAGAGCUGGGGGAAGACCUUACCUCUUUGUAGAAGACCUUGCAAGCUUUCCUUAUUGAAUUUCCAAGGCUUGAGCAAGAAAUUGAAGUGUGGAGAUGUUAGUGCUUCUCCUUCUCUCUCUCUCUCUCUCUCUCUCUCUCUCUCUAAAAUAUCAAACUUUUGCUUCAAAACGACACCCUUAUGUCUUUUUAUUAGAAUAGGGUCGGGUAAAAUUUCCCAAUUUUCCAACCUUUGUGCCGGUUCUACGAUCGCAGAUUAGACUGCGAAAUAGGUAUGCGGCCGUGAAGUGGACCGCGAAAUAGUUUUCCAAAAUUGGUCUGGCCUAAUCAAAUAUGCGGUCGAUUUUGCGAUCCGUGGAUCAAUUUUGUGGUCACAUAUUGGACCGCAGAAUCUCCUCCCAAAAGUUUCCCUUGCUGAAAUGCGAUGGAUGUGCGACCUGCGAACAGUUAUACGGUUGCAUAUUGGACCACAAAAUGACCUCCAAAAUUAAGCUUUUUCUUGUUCAAUCUGCGACGGUUAUGCGGCCAGCGAAACAGAUCUACGGCCGCGAAAUGGAUCGCAGAGUUGCCAUUUUUCUGCAAAAUUUCCACCAACUCCACAAUGUUUUGCACAACCCAAAAAGUCUUCAAAACACAUUAUCCCACCUCACCACCACAAAACCUCAAAUUCUUGGCAAAAUUUGAUGGGACCUUACAUAAACAGUAAAAUAAGAUAAGGAAGGGGACUUUAGGGACUACGAAUGACGUGCAGCUCUACCCCAAGUCUCCUGGAUAGAUCUGAUCCGAGAAAUCUCCUUUAUGCGCUGCUAGGACCAAUACCGAAAUCUGCACAAGAAGUGCAGAAGUGUAGUAUUAGUAAAACUGACCUCAUGUACUCCAUAAGUGCUGAGUCUAACCUCGACGAAGUAGUGACGAGGCUAUGACAAUACACUCACUAUAAACCUAUACGAAUAAUAAAUAUAAGGCAAUAGAAAUAUAGAGAAAAAGAAUAAACUCAUAAGAACAGGACCCAAAGGUCAACUAACAGAGGGACCUAGAAUAACAUCAUCUCAUAACCUCACACCACAGUACAAAAAUAGAACACCACAACUACAAACAAUUACAAAACAUCAUACCCCGUUGUGGCACGCAACUCGAUUCCAAUAUCAUUUCAAUAUAUGUUGUUGUUGCACCCUAUUUUGCACUAGUCAAAACAAGAUUCAACUUGUGAUUUCUCAGUUGUUGAUGAAAGAAAGUCGCCACCUAAUAUUUAAAGGCAUACUAGGGUACCUAUUUAAUUACUAAAGGUUAUAUUCUUUAUUGGUCUGCUAACCGGUGAGAUUAUGGGUAAGGGUUCUUGUUCUUCUAAGGGAAAGGUGUUAGGCACCCCUUAAAAUCUACCUGAGGUAGCUCUAUAAGACUUAGACUAAAUUUAAGACUAAUUGUUUGUACUAAACUUUAACUAGUGUUCAAAGAGUGUAGCUUACCAUAUAUUAGGACAUACUAUUUAUAAAGGAAGAGUGUGAUUUAAAGAAGAGGGAUUUAAAGAAAAGCCUUUAGGAANNNNNNNNNNNNNNNNNNNNNNNNNNNNNNNNNNNNNNNNNNNNNNNNNNNNNNNNNNNNNNNNNNNNNNNNNNNNNNNNNNNNNNNNNNNNNNNNNNNNNNNNNNNNNNNNNNNNNNNNNNNNNNNNNNNNNNNNNNNNNNNNNNNNNNNNNNNNNNNNNNNNNNNNNNNNNNNAGUAUUCAAAGAAGCUAAGUUAAUGCAUUUGUUUCCUAAAGCAUAUAUUAUUCUAAUAUGGUGAAAGUAUUGUGAAAGUGAUCCUAAGAUGUACCUUGGUUUCAAAUGAAAAACUUAUUUGAAAGCCUUUGUUUUUGGGACAACAAUACUUUAAUCUUAUCAAAAUGGUUGAUCCCUUUUAGAAAAUUUAAACUAGCGACGAUUCUGAUUUUCCUUUUUGAAAGAGAGAUUGUUGCCUUUGCUAUCAAAAAUCUUUAAAGAAAAAGGUUAGCAAGACAUAAUGAAUUGAUAACAAGCUCUCGAUUAAUGGUUAUAAAAUUAAUUGCUAACUAAUGCCUCUUUUAAUCCUAGAUUAUUUAAAUAUUGCCUAAGUUAUUUUAUGCGAGUUAAAGGAUAAAAUAAAGCAUCCAAUCCAAUAUAUAAUUGUCAUAUACAUAUGAGAUUAAGCAUUAGGAAAUAUAGCAAAGAACAACGACAUAGUGCAACUGAAGAAUAAUGAAAACAAUAAAUAAAGAAGCGAAAGGAAAGAAGUGACUCUGGGAGGUUUGGGCCUCAAAGAGGCAGGCCCAGCAGUAACAGAGACGAGCAACGAGCGACAUCUAAAUCUAAACCUUCUGAGACAUAGCAAGGCUGGACUUGGGCCUGAGUUCUUAAAGAACUCAGCAGGCCCAAAUCAUUGUACAUGUUUAAAAAAGAAAAGAAAAGAGAAAGUCAUUAGAAUAACAGUACUAUAUACAUAUUCAUAUGAAAUUUGUAAGCAAAUAAUAAAAGUAAAGAUCAUUGGCAGUAUUUAAAUACGAAGCAAAGUCAUACUAAUGUGGAGGUUAUGCCUAGUAAAUGAUCUACAUUGAACACCUUUCGUUGUCAUUAAACACCAAACCCAAAGAGAUUAAUAAGUGUCAAUGGAUUAAAAGCUAAGGAGAGAAUUCUACUCAAAGCCGAUGCCCCAUUUGAAUCCCCCGACACUUUAAAGUUCCCAAAGGUAUCAAGGCCCAGGGCAAUGCUUGUGCUGGGGAAAGAAGCCCAACCUAGAGUUAAACUCCACUGCCAAAUACCUUUAACCACUAACGACUAAUUCUUCUCUAUAGGUUUAAAUGCUAAUGAGGCCCUUUCAAUGCAAACCAACCACUAUGACAUUUCCUACCACAAAAGCAUACUCCUUCUUAACAGAAUAACUUAGGAAAAACUUAUAGAGACAUCAUGACUAUACUUCGGUAUUAAGCGAGUGAAACACAUAUUGAAUAGGUUUAAAAGUCAUGUUCUAAGCACAUAUGGAGGCAGGAAACAUUUGUACUAUUGUUGCUAAAGAACCAAACAACUGGAGUCAUAUGACUUAUAGAUAAAUAAGGCAUAUAGUCUUAGAGUUGUAACAACAAAUGCUAUUGUCUUAAUGGAUUAAUCAUAUGUUAGUUCAACAUUAGAUGUGAGCAUACACAUGAAUGAAUAACACCACUUGAAUCCUUUGGAAUUCUCAGUAAAGGUUCAGACAAUGAUAUGGGCAAGUUACUGUACACAAUUAAGUAAUAGCAAAAGGGUUCUCCUAUACCAAAUUUAAUCCAUAAUAACAAGGGAAAGGAAGGGUUGAGUAUAGUUUCAAAACAUUGUUCAGAAUAUGAAGUCACGAGAGAUAAACAAAGGUUCAUACCAGACUCCUACACAUACAGAGAUUUCAUGUCACGACCCAAACUCUCCCUCCGUGAAUCGUCGUGACGGCACCUAGUCUCUACGACUAGGUAAGCCUACAGCUUGCGGAAAAGAAUUAAAACAAAAAUAUGAAAAUUAACAACUAACAGUAACAUAUAUUUUAAAUAAGCAAUUGAGGUGCCGCUCGGCAUAUACAAUAAUCAACUCUCGAAAUAUACAAAACACUCCCAAAACCUGGAACACCGUAAGUCACAAGCGUCUACGAAGUUCUAACUGUUCUAUACAUCAGUGGCUAUAGAAAUAAGAGAAGAAUCAACAUAGGGGGAUAGAGGGGGACUCCGAGGAUCUGCGAGCGCGGGUAGAUGUACCUUGAAUUUCUCCAAAAACAGCAGCGACUGCAACUAAGGACAAGGCUGGUAAAAGGAACCUGGAUCUGCACACAAAAAAUAUGUGCAGGAAAGGGCGAGAGUACAUCACAGCGGUAUCCAGUAAGUGCCAAGCCUAACCUCGACCGAGUAGUGACGAGGUCAGGUCAAGGCCCUACUGGUAUAUAUAUAGUAAAUAAGCAGGAGAGUAUAACAAUAUAAUAAGAGACUGGAAUUUAAACAACGAGAACAUAGCAAAGUAGCACGCAGAACACAAGGAUAAACAGUAGGGGAUCUCCCGAGAUACAGUCUCGUAGUCCCAAAAAAUAAAGGUGCAAGGAAAUCUCCCGAGGUACCGCCUCGUAAUCUCAAAAGUAAAUAUGCAGGGAGAACUCUCGAGGAACCGCCUCGUAGUCUCAAAAGUAAAUUUGCAGGGAGAACUUCUGAGGAACCGCCUCGUAGUCUCAAAAGUAAAUAUGCAGAGGGAUCUCUCGGGAUACCGUCCCGUAGUCCCAAAGUAAAUACGCAGCUCAAACAAAUGAAUAUAACAAUUACAACACGAAAUCUAUAAUUUAGAUUAAGUACAAGUCAAGAAAGAAGCAUGAUUCUUCUAAACAUGCUGCAAAGAGUUGAAAUAGGCAAUUAGGACACGUAGGCAUGCUAUUCUAGGCUAACAGGAUAACUACACAUGCUAGUAUACUCAGAUAAGCUGAAAAUAGGCUAUCACUCGGUAAAAAUCAGGUUUUUCCACAAAUAGCUAGUGCACGCACUCGUCACCUCGCAUACACGACACUCACAUAUCAUAACAAUACCAAAUCCUAAGGGGAUUCCCCCCCCCCCCCAAAGUUAGGCAAGACACUUACCGCAAACCAAGCUCAAUCAAUCCGUAACAAUGCUCUUUCCACGAAAAUCCGACUCCGAAUGGCCCAAAUCUAGCCAAAAUCAAUUACAUACCAUAAAUACAACUAUAAGAAAUUAAUCUAAUUAAUGAAAUCAAAGCUAAGGCAAGAAAUUAGAAAAUCGCCCCAAAAGGUCUCCCCGGGCCCACGUCUCGGAAUCGGGUAAAAAUUACAAAAUAUGAACACCCAUUCACUCACGAGUUCACUCGUACCAAAAUUACUCAAAUCCAAUACCAAAAAUCUUGAUCAAAAUCCCAAAAUUCGGCCUAAGAACUUUUCUCAAAUUUUUCCCAAUUUUCCAACCUAAAUCACUAAUUAAAUGAUGAAAUUAAAGACAAUAAUCAUGGGAACUAACCAAAACUAGGUAAGAAUCACUUACCCCAAACACCCACGUGAAAAUCCCUCCAAAAAUCGCCUAAAUCCGAGCUCUCAAGUCCAAAUAGUGAAAAUUGACAUAAACCCUCGAUUUGAACCUUUAAAUUUGCCCAUUGAUUUCUUAAUCGCAAUCGCGAAAAUAGCCUCGCGAUCGUGAAGAACAACUUUGCUGCCCUAGGAUUUAACCCUACGCGAACACGAAAAUCUCCACGCGAACGCGGUUCACUAGCUCUCAUGCUUACGCGAUCGCGAACAACCCCACACGUUCGCGAAGAAUAACACUUAAAUUCCACUGUUGAUUUACUUCCUCUUCGCGAACGCGGCCUAGCCCAAGCGUUCGCGAUGAACAACCUGACUAACCUACGCGAUCGCAUCCUCAAAUUCGCGGACACGAAGAAAAACUUUAGCUGGCCUCUUAGAUUACCUUACGCGAUCGCGAGACCUCCCUCGCAAACUCGAUGAAGAAAAAGUCUGCAACAAAAUACCAGAAAAUAUGCUAUCUUCCUUAAGUCCAAAAUGGUCCGUUGAGCAUCUGAAACACACCCGAGGCCCCCGAGACCUCAAUCAAAUAUACCAAUCAAUCCCAAAAUACCAUACGAACUUAGUCAAGCCUUCAAACCACCUCAAACAAUGCUAAAAUCACGAAUCAUCCUCCGAUCUCAAACCUAAAGAACUUGAAACUUCCAAAUUCGACAACCGAUGCCGGAACCUAUCAAACCACGUCCGAUUGACUCCAAAUUUAGCACACAGGUCAUAUUCAACCCUACAGACCUAUUCUAAUUUUCGGAAUCAGAAUCUGACCCCGGUAUCAAAAUUCCAAUACCGGUCCAAAUCUCCAAAACUUCGACUUUCGUCAUUUGAAGCCUAAAUGAGCUAUAGACCUCCAAAACACUAUCCAGACAUGCCCUAAGUCCAAAAUCACCUAACGGAGCUAACAGAACCGACGGAACUCCAUUCCGGAGUCGCCUUCACACAGUUCUAACUACGGUCCAAAUCCUAAGGCUUAAACCUCCAUUUAGGAACUAAGUGUCCCAAAACACUCCAAAAACCAAAACGAAACCUCCCGGUAAGUCAUAAUAGCAGAAAUAGAUAUGGGAGAAGCAGUUAUUAGGGGAUCGGGGCUAUAACUCUCAUAACGACCUGCCGGGUCGUUACAUUUCAAUCAAGAUUAUAAUCUCACAAGACAAAAUGAGUCCCAAACAUUGCAGAAUUAGGUUAUCAGUUUCACUAGGGGGUUAAAGAUAGGGGAAACAUCAUAUUUGAAUAGACUUAAGUCAGCUAUACAUGCAUAGGUUGAAUACUAAACAUGGUGGAGUUGUACUCAACUACCGAAAACAGUUGGCAUUCAACCACAACAGGUACAACUACUCCCUAACUCAUAAGAGAUAGAUUGAUCAUAACAAGUAUCACCGAUGUGCACAGAAGUUCAUCCUAGUGGGACUGUUUGCAACUAAUAGUUAGACAUGGAAGUGAAACAUUAAUAGUGAGGAUUCAAAGGAUACUCAAGGAAUAACAAGAAUUUAUGAAAUCAUUUUGAAUAUUCAGGUUUCACAAGCCUUAACCAAGUGAGGCAGGGUUAUUCUAUAUAUCUUCAUGCAAACCCUAACUAGAAUCAUUUAACAGCAGACCCAAGUAUGGGAGGACAGAACUCAAAAGAACAUGGCAUGAUGAGUAUGAAGAUUGCAGCAACAACCCUAAAUAUAACAUAAUAGAACUCAAAGAAUAUAUGAUGAACAGAAAAAUCGAAGUAUAGGAUAACAUAACUUAGAAUGGUAUAUCAAGAUAAACAUGAAGACUAUAGCAAAACCUGAAUACAAAGUAAUAGAGCUGAGGAGAAUAUAACAUGAUGAGUAUGAGGAUUAUAAUUGAACAGAACACAUCAUGAUGAUCAUGAAGAUUACAACAGAACAUUUGAGUAAAGUUUGAAGUCUAGGUAGAUGUGAGAAAUCAUCAAGGCAGGUUAAACAACUUAAACACAUAGGCUUUUCAAUGUAGAAAUUGAGGCCAUUAAAGUCACACAACUACUUAAUUAAAACUAGAUAAAUACCAUAACUUAUCAUAGAUCACCAAUUGUUAUGACCUGGAAUCCCAACCUUGGGGUCGUGAUAGCGUCUAACAUCCACUUGCUAGGCAAGUCGACGUGAGAUAACUAAUUAGCCAAAUUUUAACUGUUUAAACAAAAUGAUGAUAAAUAACGAGAGAUAGGAACUCAAUCUAAUACAUUACCAACAUAACUCAUGUAAUAAUAUCUACUCCCAAAGAUCCAGAAUCACGAGUAUACGAGCAACUAGAAGUUCUACAAACAGAUUCUAAAAUAAAUACAAUUGUUUCGAAGGAAAUGAACAGUAAAAGAGGGAAGAGGAAGGGGACUUCAAGGUCUGCGGAUGCCAGCAGAUCUACCUCAAGCCCUCCUAUGCAAUGAUCUGAGCUGACGCAUCUCACACACUGAUGGGACCAAUACCAGAAUUUGUACAAGAAGUGCAGAAGUGUAGUAUGAGUACAACCGACCCAAUGUACUCCGUAAGUGUUGAGCCUAACCUCGAUGAGGUAGUGACGAGGCUAUGACAGGACACCUACGUAAAUAAACCUGUACAAGUAUAUAUAUAUGAAGUAGUAAAAAAAUAGAGAUUAAUAAUGUACAAUUGGGAGGGGACACGCGAAAAGGGAAAAAUACGACAACUACAGCAGGAAUGACAUCCAGUAAUAGCCAAAUAAAUCAUCAACCAAUGAAGACAGAUAAAUCAAUGAGAUAAAAAUGGCACGGCAUCACCCUUCGUGCUUUAACACUCUUCCUUACCAUGAAAUGAUGACAUAAGUAAAAUAAAAUGGCACGGCAUCACCCUUCGUGCUUUUACUCUCGAUCUCACCAUGUAACAAUGAAUAAAUGAGAUGAAUGGCACGUCAUCACUCUUCGUGCUUUUACUGUCUUCCUCGCCAUAAUAUAAUGAAUAAAUGAUAUAAAUGGCACGACAUCAACCUCCGUGCUUUAACUCUCUUCCUCAAUAUGUAUUAAUCAAUAAAUGAGAUAAAUAAAAUGGCACGACAUCACCCUUCAUGCCUUAACACUCUUCCUCACCAUGUAAUAGAGAUAAUAUAAAUUCGGGAAAUAAAUAAUGCAGAGAAUGUAUUUAAUGCCAAAUAUAAUGCCAAGAUACCAAACUUCAACUUCCGAAAUACUCAACAAUUACUAACUAAGCAAUAAUUACAGAAGGAAUGAUCAAAUACGUGAUAAUCUAACCUAAGCAUGGAUAUCAUAAUUACAAAUUCAAUAAAUCACAAGGAAACAAGUUCCACCCGCAUGCUUUAACCCAACAACAACGCAUAAGUCCUCGUCACCUCACAUAUACGCUGUACCCACACAAUAAACACGUAGCAAAUAGGCAAACAAGUCCUAAUACCUUAAGUCAAGGUUAACCACUACACUUACCUCGCUCCACAAUCAAAUCAAAGCUCAACCGGGGCCUUUCCUCUAAAAUUCUCCUCCAAACCAAUCAAAUCUAAUCAAAUAUCGUUCAAACAAUUCAAAAUAAGCUUUAGAAACUACCCAUAAGUGGACAAGAUUCAAUUUAUAAUGAUUUCAAAAUAAGUCAACAAAAGUCAACCCCGGGCCCGCUUGGUCAAAACCUGAGAUUCAGACCAAAACCCAAUUACUCAUUAACCCUCGAGCCCAAUUAUGUAAUUAGUUUUUAAAAUCCGACCUCAAUUUGAGGUCUAAAUCUCAAUUUUAUAAAAUUUCCCAAUUUUAUCCAAAUCUCUAAUUUUCUACCACGAAGGAGCAUAAAUUAAGGUUAGAAAACAAUGGGUGUUGAUGUAAAUGGAAGAAAACGAGUUAAAGUACACUAACUUACGAAGUAGGGGAUGAAAUCUCUCUUCAAAAUCGUCUCUAGACCGAGCUCUGAUGAGAAGAUAGUGAAAAAUGGGUGAAAUCCUGAUUUUUAGAAGUUUAAAUGACUGGGCGUCAGGUGUUCAUCGCAUUUGUGAGACACCUGAUACGUUCAUGAAGAGCACUGCCCAGUUGUCCAUCGCGAUCGUGAUCAACCCUCCGCGUUCGCAUAGGCUUAACCCCACUUGCCUUCGUGCUCGUGAGCCUGGGCUCGCGUUUGCGUAAAGUAAAUUUCAUUUGGAGUGGAUUGCGAUUCACAUUGGGUGGUGCCAUAGUGCACUGAAUGGCUCCGCUCUUGAUCAAUAUUUCAAUCUCAUUUUUUAGCUUAAAACAAUCUUCAGUAUCAUGCCCAAGCAUGUUAGAAUUGUACACGCACCUUUUAGUUGCAUAAAAAUAUUUGGAGGGAUACUCAGGAAUCCUUCCUUCCACUAGAUGUAUCAAUCCUGCUCUUCUUAAUCUCUCGAACAAUUAGGCCAGAGGAUCAGCAAUCGGGGUAUAAUUUCUGGGACCCCUCUCUUCAAAAUUGGGACGAAGGCGUGGUGCAUAAGUGGGCCGGUUUUGAUGGGUAAUGGUUUGGACAUGAGCAUAUGGUCAUUGUGGGUUCGGGUUGUUAUGGGCUCAAGGAGGGUUGUAUUGGGGUUGGGGCUGGUAAUAUGGCUGGGUGUUAUAGACUGCGGCGUAAGCGUGUGGCGGUGAAUGGUUUGUUUAGGGAAUAUGAAGUGUUUUCAUGAUGUUGGUUGGGUUGAUAGUAAGGGACGACUGCUGAGACCUCCUCUUUCUUAUUCUUUCUGCUACCGAUUGACCCUGAUUGGAUUGCCUUGCUGGCCGCUUGUAGUGCUGCCAUGGAUUGCACUUUACCAGAUUUUAUAACUUUUUUAAAGAAAUCUCCCAUCUUGACCGGCUCGGGGAAUUUCUGUCCCAUCAUUCCCAUCACUUUUUCAAAGUAUAUCCCUUCCUGGGCUCUGAUGAAAUACUUGGUUAAUUCACUGUCGUCCAGCGGAGGUUGCGCCCUGGAGGCCUCUGACCUCCACCGACGUGCAUAUUCUUGAAUGACUCAGAUGGCAUUUUUUGCAGGUUCACCAGUGCGAACCUAUCGGGAGUGAUCUUUAUGUUGAAUCGAAAGCGAUUCAUGAAGUCCUCCGCUAUAUCUUGCCAGGUUCUCCAGUUUCGCGGAUCCUGUCGAGUAUACUAGGUGAGUGCUUCUCCCGUCAGGAUCCUUAUGAAUAACUUCAUUCUUAGCUUCUCGUUCCUCCCCACUUCGACUAACUUGUCACAAUAUGUCCUCAAAUACGCGUGGGGAUCACCCGUCCCGUCGAAGAUAUCGAACUUUGGAGGCUUAUACCCUAUUGGCAUAUCCACAUCCGGAUGGAUACACAGAUCCUCGUAGUCCAAAGUUUCACUUCCCCGGGCAACUUAGAGGUUCUUCAUUUAUUUUCUCAAGAUUUACAAUUGCUCAGAUAGUGACUCCUCUUCCUUACGCCUGACUUCCCUCUCCAUCUCGACGUAUUGGUCAAUCUCAUAAGGCACCCUGACCGUGACAGGCAAUGUAAAGGUCGGUUCAGAAAUGGCAUAUAUAGGAGGAACAUAUCGCUCAUGGGCGGCGGUAUAUGCCACAGGUAUGUGCUGAUUUGGGUGAGUGGUAAAAGUGACUCCGUCACGAGCAGGGGUGUGAGUUACGUUGGUGGUGAUAGGCGGGGGUUUGUGGUGUUUGAACAUACUGUGGUACGUAGGGAGUGUGGAUAGGGGGAUUUGGUGGGUUUGCAGGGGUUACUGGAGGUAUGACUUGAAUAGUAGGGACUGAAGUUGGGGUGUUGUUGUUUUGGCGUGAUGUGGAAGGAAAGUGGUCGGGUAUUGAAUCCAAAGAAGGAAAGCGAGGUAGUUGAGGGAGCAUUGUCACAGCUAGAUGUGCUAGUUCCAUAAUAUGUUGUACUUCCUCCCUUAAAGACUCCAUCUCUUGGGUCAUCCCGGCCACAUGUUCAUCAUUCCUGGUAUCGUCUUUCUCUCCCGAUCACCCCGGGCUAUCGACUAUGACCAGAGCAUGUUCAGUCAGGAUUUCUGCAGCAGGCAUCUUUCCCUUUGAUCUUAGAUAGUAUGGUGGUUCCGCCAGUUUUGGGUCAACAAAAACCAACUUUCUUUUUGGGGAGCAAUAAUAAAGUAAAAAAAACAAGAGGAAAGAAAAGAAAAAGAAGCAGGAAUCAGUUUUUUCAUUUAUACAAGCAGGAAACCACACAGAGAAAUUAAUUCACGUAUUAAGGUUAGAUCGCGGGACCUCUCAUUGCCGGAGGUAGGCCUAAAUCACGGAUGUUUGACAAGCAAUUAGACUUGACACAUUUAGAUCCGAAGCAAGUUUAUUUUCAUUGAUAGUUUUUGGAGGGAGAUAAGUGGGAACAAAGAUUACAUCACUGUUUCAGAUAUUCAUAGAACUGCAUAGGCUUAAACAACUUGCCCUUUAGGAAAGUAAGAAAAAAUUGGGGAUAAGGGUACAAAGUGGGAUAGAAUGGGAAAUCAACCAACUUCUAGUAACCAUCCCCGGAAUCAUUUUCCAUCUCCUCUUCUUCCUCCGGAUAUUCCUCCGUGUCUUCUUCAAACUCCUUUUCUUCAUCGUUGAACUCAGACCCUUCCUCUAGAUCUUCUUUCGGCUCUGUCCCAAACUCUAUCUGGAUGCACUCCACUACCCGAUCAUCGUCUUCAGCGGGUGACGACAUGUGAUCGAUGGAUCCUGGGACCAUUUGAUGGUGCAUUGAGGUUGUCAUAAGGUAAUGUGGCAAAAUCUCAUGGUAGAUUUGCAAAACAGCCACUGUGUCCUCCAUCCAGGCUAUAUCCUCUCUUGCUUGGUAGGGCUAGCUCGUCUUCUUCAUUUAUCCAGACAUAAUACUCCGGAGUGCACCACGAGUUUUGACCCAUCAGCAUUGUGACCAGGUCGUUCCACUCUUCUUGGAGCCUUCUUAUCCUAGGAAUUGGAAUUCGUCCGUUGUACUCAUCCUCAUAUAGCGUUGUUCUCGUGCAUACAGGUACAUCCUAGAUCAUCCAAAACUGUCUGAGAACCCGCAGGGGUGAGUAUGGUUAGAUGCCCUCAAGUCCGAUCAGCUCAAUGAAGUAUUUAUGAGGAAUCCUUAAGAUUUCCCUCCCACCUAACCAUGAUAGCUUCCAGUUGACCCAUUCUCCACUUAGAUUAGUCAGCAUUUCCCUCCACUCUUCUUGCCCAUGUGGGGAGACCCAAUGUCUCAUCCUCUCCUUGUGGCUGUAGAUCAUGUUGUUGAUGCCCACCAAGUAGUCAAUGGUGGCCUCUCGCUGGAAGAAAUAUUUUGUGGCCCAGAUAUGAAGUAGCAAGUUACAACCCUUAAAGAAAUCAUACCCUCGUGCACAUGCGGACAAAGCCCGCAUAAUCUCAGUUAGCACCAUGGCACCAAUGUAGCUUGAAGGUUGCCAUGGAAGGUCGCCAGAACCACGGGUAAUAAGUUGAUGUUGAUCCGACCCUUACUCUAUGGGAAGACCAAUAAUCCACAAUGCCAAUGAGAAGGUGAUAGGCCUGAGACUCUCCCACAUUGAUUGAUUACACUGAAACUCUCUCGAAUACCACUUAUAACUUUCAUGAUGGUCAAAUCUGUCGAACAACUGGUCGAGGCUCACCCAUCCAUCCUCGAUAUUUCUCAGACCCCGACUGUUAGUCAGGCCCAAAGUAUCUAAGAACUUGUAACCGGGCAUAGUGACUGGUAGUAUUGGCUUCCUUCCUAUGAAUGGCAACUCCGUGAAACUUGUAACUUCUUCCAAUGUCGGUACUAACUCAUAAUUGGCAAACUUGAACACCACCUUAGCUGGAUCCCCGAACUCUAUCAGCAGGCGAGUGAGCACCCUUUCUGCUCGUAUGUUUAGCAAAUCGGUUAGUUCCCCCAGGUGUGUCCGAAUCUCAUCUUUGUGUUCCCAGUGAAUGUUCUUCCACCACUUCUUCAACUUGUGUGGCGCUCCCAUUACCAUGUUAAUCUCGGGGAUGUUUUGGUUGAUUUCCAUUUUCUGAAGUGGGUAAAAAAGACUUUGGUAAGUGUUUGCUUUGGAUCUUUAGAUGUCUUGUCAGGGUUUUUCAUCUUUCCACAGAAGUCAUAUUGUUGGGUGCAUGACCCGUUGACAUUAGGGUGGCUUUCCUAAUUGUGUGUCGUUGCCAAGUACCGACUCACCUAAGGUUUAUGCAAUAUGACCUAUUUUUGCUAGAGUAGAGUAUUUCCUACUUUUGAGUUGGAGUGAAGACUGCGAGAAGUUAUGUCAGUUGACCUAACAAAGCCAUUCUCUAAAACUAGAGAGUUUUGAAAAGAAUGUUCGGAGGGGCGUAAAAGACAACCCUCAUGUGCCAUUGUGUGUGAUAGUGUAUGGCCAAGACUCGAUAGGAAGAAGUGUGAUGACAUUAUAUGUAAAGCAGUAAUAGAUAAGUGUGUCGAAACAAGGAGCAUGAUAAUAAGAAUAAAGAGCAAAUAAAGCAGGUAAGCAUGUAAUUUCAAAUUUAGCCACAAUAAAACAAUGUACAAACAAAUCUAAGUGCCAAAUUCAGUCUAAGUCUGCUAAGGUCAGAACCUAAGUGUGAAUCCUCAACAGAGUCGCUAUGUUGUUGCACCCUAUUUUGCACUAGUCAAAACAAGAUUCAACUUAUGGUUUAUCUGUUAUUGAUGAAAGAAAGUCGCCACCUAAUAUUUAAAGGUAUACUAGGGUACCUAUUUAAUUACUAAAGGUUAUAUUCUUUAUUGAUCUGCUAACCGGUGAGAUUAUGGGUAAGGGUUCUUGUUCUUCUAAGGGGAAGGUGUUAGGCACCCUUUAAAAUCUACCUGAGGUAGCUCCAUAGGACUUAGACUAAAUUUAAGACUAAUUGUUUGUUCUAAGUUUUAACUAGUUUUCAAAGAGUGUAGCUUACCAUAUAUUAGGACACAAUAUUUAUAAGGGAAGAGUGUGGUUUAAAGAAGAGGGAUUUAAACAAAAGCCUUUAGGAAAUUAGUGUUAAUAUAAAUAUAAAUAUAUAUAUAUAUAUAUAUAUAUAUAUAUAUAUAUAUAUAUAUAUAUAUANNNNNNNNNNNNNNNNNNNNNNNNNNNNNNNNNNNNNNNNNNNNNNNNNNNNNNNNNNNNNNNNNNNNNNNNNNNNNNNNNNNNNNNNNNNNNNNNNNNNNNNNNGAUACUAAGAUGUAUCUUGGUUUCAAAUGGAAAACUUGUUUGAAAGCCUUUGUUUUUUGGGACAACAAUACUUUAAUCUUCUCGACAUGGUUGAUUCCUUUUAGAAAAUUUAAACUCGCGGCGAUUCUAAUUUUCCUUUUUGAAAGAGAGACUUCUCCCUUUGUUAAGUCUUUGGAAUUCAAAAAUCUUUAAGGAAAAGAUUAGCAAGGCAUAAUGAAUUGAUAACAAGCUCGCGAUUGGUGGUUAUAGAAAUAAUUGCUAACUAAUGCCUCUUUUAAUCCUAGGUUUUUCAAGUCUUGCCUAAGUUAUUUUAUAAGAGUUAAGAGGAUAAAAUAGAGCAUCCAAUCCAAUAUAUAAUUGUCAUAUACAUAUGAGAUAAAGCAAUAGGAAAUAUAGCAAAGAACAACAACAUAGUGCAACUGGAGAAUAAUGAAAACAAUAAAUAAAGAAGCAAAAGGAAAGAAGUGACUCUGGGUGGUUUGGGCCUCAAAGAGGCAGGCCCAGCCGUAACAGGGACGAGCAACGAGUGACAACUAACCCUAAACCUUCUUAUACAUAGCAAGGCUAAACUUGAGCCCGUGUUCUUAAAGAACUCAGCAUGCCCAAAUCAUUGUACAUAUUCAAAGAAAAAGAAGAGAAAGUCAUUAGAAUAACAGUAGUAUAUACAUUUUCAUUUGAAAUUUGUAAGCAAAUAAUAAAAGUAAAGAUCAUUGGCAGUAUUUAAAUGCUAAGGAAAGUCAUACUAAUGUGAAGGUUAUGCCUAGUAAAUGAUCCACAUUGAACACCUUUCGUUGUUAUUAAACACCAAGCCCAAAGAGAUUAAUAAGUGUUAAUGGAUUAAAAGCUAAGGAAAGAAUUCUACUCAAAGCCGAUGCCCCCUUUGAAUCCCCUGACACUUCAAAGUCCCAAGGCAAUGCUUGUGCCGGGGAGAGCAGCCCAACCUAGAGUUAAACUCCACUCCCAAAUACCUUUAACCACUAACGACUAAUUCUUCCCUAUAGGUUUGAAUGCCAAUGAGGCCAUUUCAAUGCAAACCAACCGCUAUGACAUUUCCUACCGCAAAAGCAUACUCCUUCUUAACAGAAUAACUUAGGAAAAACUCAUAGAUACAACAUGACUAUACUUCGGUAUUAAGCAUGUGAAACACAUAUUAAACAGGUUUAAAAGUCAUGUUCUUAGCACAUAUGGAGGCAGGAAACAUUUGUACUAUUGUUGCUAAAGAACCAAACAACUAGAGUCACAUGGCUUAUAGAUAGAUAAGGCAUAUAGUCUUAGAGUUGUAACAGCAAAAGCUAUUAUCUUAAUGGAUUGAUCACAUGUUAGUUCAACACUAGAUGUGAACAUACACAUGAGUGAAUAACACCACUUGAAUCCUUUGGAAUUCUUAGUAAAGGUUCAGACAAUGAUAUAGGCAAGUUACUGUACUCAAUUAAGUAAUAGCUAAAGGGUUCUCCUUUACCAAAUUCAAUCCAGAAUGACCGGGGAAAGGAAGGACUGAGUAUAGUUUCAAAACAGUGUUCAAAAUAUGAAGUCACGAGGGAUAAAUAGAGGUUCAUACCAGACGCCUACAAAUACAAAGAUUUCAAUCAAGAUUAUAACCUCACAAGACAAGAUGAGUCCCAAAUAUUAGAGAAUCAGGUUAUCAGUAUCAUUAAGGGGUUAAGGAUAGAGGAAACAUCAUACUUGAACAGACUUGAGUCAUCUAUACAGACAUAGGUUGAAUACUAAACAUGGUGGAGUUGUACUCAACUACAGAAAAUAGUUGGCAUUCAACCACAACAUGUACAACUACUCCCUAACUCAUAAGUGAUAAAUUGAUCAUAACAAGUAUCACUGAUGUGCACUGAAGUUCAUCCUAGUGGGAUUGUUUGCAACUAAUAGUUAGACAUGGAUGUGAAACAUUCAUGGUGAGGAUCCAAAUGAUACUCAAGGACUAACAAGCAUUUAUGAAAGCAUUUUGAAUACUCAGGUUUCACAAGCCUUAACUAAUUGAGGCAGGGUUAUCAUAUAUAUCUUCAUGCAAACCCUAACUAGAAUCAUUUAACAAUGGACCCAAGUAUGGGAUGAUAGAACUCAAAAGAACAUGGCAUGAUGAGCAUGAAGAUUGCAACAAGAACCCUAAAUAUAGCAUAACAUAACUCAAAGAAUAUAUGAUGAAUAGAAAAACCUAAGUAUAAGAUAAUAGAACUUAGAAGGGUACAUCAUGUUAAACAUGAAGACUAUAGCAGAACCUGAAUACAUAGUAACAUAGCUUAGGAGAAUAUAACAUGAUGAACAUGAGGAUUAUAAUUGAAUAGAACAUAGCAUGAUGAUCAUGAAGAUUACAAUAGAACAUUUGAGUAAAGUCUGAAGUCUCGGUAGCUUUGAGAAAUCAUCAAGUCAGGUUAAGCAAUUUAAAUACAUAGGCUGUUCAAUGCAGAAAUUGAGGCUAUUAAAGUUAAACAACUACUUAAUUAACACUAGAUAAAUACUACAGCUUAUCAUAGAACACCAACAAGCCAUGCUGAACUUUUGUAAAUAAUCACAUACUGAAUAAAUAUUAUAAACUAAACAAUUAACCAGGAAAAUAAUAUCGUGUUCAUGAUUUUCAAAUGAAGCAAUUAAGGGAGGGAGGAUGGAGGUGUACUGGCCUCCUUUUGAGCAGCAUACCAAACAAAAGACUCUUGUUUAGCCGUGUAAAAUCUAGAACUCACCCCGACCAGUAUAAUACUCAGAAUCAGAAGGAAACCAGAAGCUAGUUAGAACCCUUGCUUAAUUUACUACUCAAAACUAAAAUCGAGAUCUUUCUAAGUAAUUUUGCGAUAGCUUUUUGUGUCUAUUGGGUGUGUUAGUUCUGUAGGUUGAAGAUGUUAAGUCUAUAUUGUUAUGUGUUAGGUGAGAGCAUUGAAAGCCUUAUUUAUAGUGCCAUUAAUGGCUUAGGAUUUCAGCAGAAUUCAAAUUCAAUAGUGGAGAGUGACGAUUGCCAAGUGAUGCAAGCAAGAUCGAGUGAAAAAUAUGGGGAACAUAUGGGAAAUCAUUUAGGGUUUACCUGAGAGGAGAGAAGUGAGAGGCCGGCCAUUGAGGCAUGAGAUACCACUAGCCAAAACCCUAAUACCCAGAGGUCAUUGCAUUUUACCUCUGGGUGUCGAACACCAACGUUGAAGCCAACUAGCAUCUCAGGCUUACUUUGAUUUGAAGAGACGAAGGAAGAAAAUCCGGCGAGUUAAAAUUUCACCCUUUUGGUCUGAAUUUUUAGAUUAAGGAUUUGAAAUCGAAUCGUGAAAAUGGAAAGAGUGACAAAGUCUGAGAUACAAGAGCAAAACGAAUAGCCAUGCAUGCCACAUAUUUGAAAGAUUAAUGGCGAUUUGAGGUUUUAUUUUUUGGGGGUUAGGGUUCGGAUUUGGGAGUUUAAGUUUCUGAUGAUGAGAUAGGAAAGGUUCAGCGGGAAUCACAGCUAGGUAAGGCAAAUGAGAUGAAUCUCUGAUGAAUUCGUGACCUUGCACGAAUUUGUGCAAGGUCUGGUGAUUGAUUUGGCUUGUGUGGUUGACAGAAAAGAGAGAGGAAGGAGAAAGAGAGGCGACUGUGUCGGAGGAAAUGAUUUUAGGGUAUGUUGGGGUAUUGGGGGUUGUCUCUAAGGUUAAAGAUAGGAGAUAGGAUCUGGGCCGUUAGAUCUGGUGAUAAACGACCCUGAUAAUUCGGUUGUUUAAGAUUUUUGGGAAGGAAUUUUUGUGGCCAUUGGAUCAUGGGAUUUGGAAGAUGGAGAUAAGAUCUCUGGGGGCGGGUGUUUAAAAAUCAAAGAAAAUUAGAGAUUAAAUGUUAGCCGCUGAUCAGAUGGACCAACAGUUCAGGUACAUGUGUGUUUAUUUUGUAAGUGAUUAGGGAUGAUGAUGUGGCACGAUCCCAUUGAUUCAGGGAGAGGGACGCAGAUCGCCACAGUGGCUUAGAGGGUCUUUUGGACUGGGUGUUUUUCCGGAUUGGGCUUGUCAUUAGGGCCAAAUGAGUUUGAAAGAUGACCAUCUUGUGUUUAAUUAGAGAUUUGCAAUUGUAGCCUUUUUAAUCCCUUUUGAAAUUAAUUUAAUUAAACUUAAUUAUUUCCAAUAAAACAUAGUAGAAAUUAGAAUCAUCAAAUACGCUAGUAAUAAUAAUUAAUUAUUUAUAAAAUACUUUUUCUUUAAAAUUAUAAAACUAAUUUUGAAUAUAACAAUCUAAUUAAUCGGACUUUGAGAAAUAAUUCGUGAAAUUAAUUAUAAAGCCUAGAAGAUUUAUUUUAGAAAUUGUUUUAAUGAUAUUUAAAGUAGUAAGUAUAUUUUUAAUUACAUAAUGUUAAUACUAGGUUAUUAAUUUUAAAACUAAUACUUAAUCAAUUUUGCAAAAUAGGUAUUUAUUGAUAGAAAAUACUUUCAACGAGGCCUUUCCUCCAAAAUUCGCCUAUAAACCAGUCGAAUCUAACCAAAUAUCAUUCAAACAAUUCAAAAUAAGCUUUAGCAACUACCCAUGAGUGAAAAAGAUUCAAUCUUUAAUGAUUUCAAAAAGAGUCAACAACAGUCAACCCCGGGCCCGCCUGGUCAAAACUCGAGAUUCAGACCAAAACUCAAUUACCCAUUCACGCCCAAGCCCAAUUAUGUAAUUAGUUUUGAAAUCCGAGAUCAAUUUGAGGUUUAAAUCCCAAUUUUAUAAAAAUCUCCAAUUCUACCCAAAACCCUAAUUUUCUACUAUGAAGGAGCAUAAAUUAAGGUUAGAAAUCAAUGGGUGUUGAUGGAAAUGGAAGAAAGCGAGUUAAAGUACACUAACCUACGAAGUGGGGAUGAAAUCUCUUUUCAAAAUCGCCUCUAGGACGAGCUCUAAUCAGAAGAUAGUGAAAAAUGGGUGAAAUCCCAAUUUUUAGAAGUUUAAAUGACUGGGCGUGAGGUGUUCAUCGCGUUCGCGAGACACCUGACGCAUUAGCAAAGAGCAUUGCCCAGUUGGCCAUCGCGAUCACCAUCAACCCUCCGCGUUCGCAUAGGCUUAGCCCCACUUGCCUUCGCGUUCACGAGCCUGGGCUCGUGUUCACGUAGAGUAAAGUUCAAUUCCUCAGUCCCCCCUCCUAACACUACGCAUUCGCAAGAAAGGUAGACCCCCCUCAAAAGUUCAGACUCUAGCAACAACCAAAACUAACAAAUUUCUUAAGUCCAAAAUCACUUAGUAACCUAUCCGAAACUCACUCGAGUCCCUCGGGCUCCAAACCAUACAUGCACACAAGUGUAAUAACAUCAUACGAACUCGCUCGCGCGAUCAAAACACCAAAAUAAUACCUAGAACUAUGAAUCAGACGUCAAAAUGAAUGAUAUUUUCAAAGAAACUCAACAAUAUGUAAUCUUACAACCGGACGUUCGAAUCAUGUCAAAUCAACUCCGUUUUGCACCAAAUUUUUUAGACAAGUCAUAAAUACUGAAAUAAACCUAUACCAAGUUUCAGAAAAUAAUCCGAACCCGGUAGCAAUAAAGUCAACAUACGGUCAAACUUAGGAAUUCUUUUAGCCUUCAAAUUACUAGUUUUCAGCAGAUCACGCUAAAUCAGGUUAGGGACUUCCGAAUUCAAUUCCGGGCAUAUGCCCAAGUCCCAAAUUACGAUACGGACCCACCGUGACCAUCAAAAUACUGAUCCGGGUCCGUUUACAAAAUAUUGACUGUAGUCAACUCAAUUCAUUUUAAGGCUAAAUUUUACAUUUUUAUAAAUGUUUCACAUAAAUUUUUUUCGGAAAGAGACACGGGCUGCGCAUACAAAUCGAGGAAGGCUAAACAGAUCUAUUCGAGGUCUCGAAACACAAAAAUAAAAGCUAAAAUUGAAAAUGACCUACCGAGUCAUCAUACCAACAAGUCAUGAUGAACCAAAAGUAAACAAUCACAGACUGAAUAAUAUUACCUAAUUGCAGUUAAAGCAGAUAACUCAAAACAACAGAAAUAACCUCACUAGGUCUCAACAGAAUAAGCACAUAGCCUAAACAGGAUUUCUAGCAUGGAUCCCAGUUCAAUUACUACAACAAAGAAGGAUUUCACAGAUAGUACAAGACUUAUUAACAACACAAUACAAAAGAAUCAAACAGAUCAUAAUUUCCACGAUGCACGCCCAUACGCCCGUCACCUAGAGUGUGCGUUACCCCAACACAAACCAUAUAACAUAUUUUGAUGGGAUUAUACCCUCAGUUCCAAGUUUAGAAGUGUUACUUACCUCAAAGUGUGCAACUCAAUGCUCCAACAAACCCUUGCCUCACGAAUCGGCCCUAGAACGACUCGAAUCUAGCCACAAGCAUCUUAAUAUAAUUAAUACAAGCUAUAGGAAUCGAUUCCAUACGAUAAAGCUAAGAUCUUUAACCAAAUUCAAAAAGUCAACCCAAAAAGUUAACCUUGGGACCACGCCUCAAAAAUUCACAAAAUCCGAAUACUCAUUCAAUUAUGAGUCCAACCAUACCAAAAUUAUCCAAUUCCAACCACAAAUCGACCUUCAAAUCCCCAAAUCUUACUCUCCAAUACAUAGACCACAAAUCUUCCAAAUUUCACCUCAAACACACAUAAUCUAGGUGUAAAAUCAAUAAGUAUUCAAUAUUUAUGAACAAAGUGAUAAAAAGUUACUUACCUCUUGAAUUAUAGUGAAAUCCCUCUCAAAGGUCGCCACUAGCCGAGCUUCAAAAGUCCAAAAAUGAAGAAAAUGGCUCAAACCCUCGACUAUAUCCUUCUGCCCAGGCAUUCUCGCUUCUGCGAGCUCAAACACUACACUUGCAAUUUCGCUUUUGCACAAAAAAACUUGCUUCCGCGAAAAAUCAUUAAAAUUUCCGACCUGCCGCUUCUACGGUCCAAGUUCCGUACCUGCGGGAGCGCACCUGCAGAACUUCUCCGCUUCUACGACUCCAGCUCUCCUAUCCAAAAUUCACACCUGCCAGCUCGCAAAUGCGAAAAGUGCCUCGCAUAUACGGCCUUUGCCAAGCCUAGACAGUCUCCACACCUGCGUUCCUCCUGUCGUUUCUUCGACUUCGCACCUGCAGCCCCAGUAUCGCAAAUGCGAUCACACCAGGCAUCAGAAAAUUCAGCCAAGUUCCAAGUCCAAAACCAAUCCGAAAUCAAUCUGAAUCUCACCCGAGAUCCCAUCCAAAUAUACCAACACAUCCUAAAACGUGAUACGAACUUAGUCGAAGCCUCAAAUUACAUCAAACAACAUCAAAAAUAUGAAUCGCAUCCCAAUUCAAGCCUAACGAAACUAAUAAAUUUUCAACUUCUAAAACUAAUACCGAAACCUAUCAAACCAACUCCGAUUGACCUCAAAUUUUGCACACAAGUCAUAAAUUACACAACGGACCUACUUAAACUCCCGAAACUAAUAUCUGAGUCCGAUAUCAAUAAAGUCAACUCUCGGUCAAACUUCUCAAUCUUUCAAACCUUCAACUUCCUAACCUUUCGCCAAUUCAAGCCAAAAUGAUCUACGGACCUCCAAAUCAAUAUUUGGACAUACUCAUAUGUCCAAAAUCACCACAAGAAGUUAUGAGAACCAUCAGAACUCUGUUCCGGAGUUGUUUACAAAUAAGUCAACAUCCAAUCAACUCUUUCAACCUAAGCUUCCAACCGUGAAACUAAGUGUCCCAAUUUACUCCGAAAUAUCUCCGGAACUAAACCAACCACUCCGGCAAGUCACAUAACCAAAAAUGAACAUAGAAUAAGCAAUAAAUGGGAAAACGAGCUACAAUAUUCAAAAUGACCGGCCGGGUUGUUACAUCGUACAAGUCCAAAAAUAUUAUACGAACCUACCAGAAUCGUCAAAAUACCGAUCCGAGGUCGUUUACCAAAAUUAUUGACCGUGGUCAACUCUAGCAUUAAUUUAAGUCAAAAAUCACGUUUUCUUCAAAAAUUCACAUAAAAGCUUUCCGAAAAAUGACACGGAUCAUGUUCGCAAGUCAUAUAACAUCAAAUGAAGCUAUGAGAGGUCUCAGAACAUAAAAAUUAAGGCUAGUACUCAAAAUGACCUUUCGGGUCGUCACAAAUAAGUGACUACUUUGCCAAUACAAUUCAAAAUGUGGCUUAUUUACCAAGAUUGUGGAUUGUAAAAGAAUUAUAUACAAAGAUAAUAAAUUUGUAUAAAUAUUUAAUUUAAAUAAAUCUGUGGAGAAGCACAAUUCGACUAGAUAUAUGAAUGCAAUGACAUGAUAAAAUUAAUGCUCAUGCAAAGUGAACCAUAUUCCUUCGUGACAAAUAAGACUGGUAGACACCUGGUCGAUACACUUGGCCAAAUGAAAUCCUUCUCUAAGAAGUCUUAUAAAUGCUCUUUUAGUUCCUUUAACUAUGUUAGAGCCAUUCGAUAAGGCGAAACAGAUAUGGGCUGAGUCUUUGACAUAAAGCUUACUCAAGAAAGACAUCCAAAAAUUUAUGCACAAACAACAAGAGGUGAAGGGAUGAUGCAUCAGCAUUUAUGUCCUAACUCUCACUAAUAAAGUAACCUUUGGCGAUUUCUUGCCCUAAUGUAGGAAAAACCUACCCAACGAUAAUUUAAUAUUUUCGUUCCAUUCAAUAACAAGAUCAAUUCAUGCGCAUAAUUGUAUCAACGUCAAAUUAUUUUUAAUUCGAUAAGACCUGCCAUAGUAUUUCGGCUAUGUACUGUAAUGGUACAACUCUUGUAAAUCCAUAUGGCCACUAGAGAAUCACCAAAUGAAAUAGAAGUUAAGAACGGUUCACCUAACUGCGUACUAUUUGUACAUUAUGCCCCUUUACAGUUUUAAAAUUAAAAAAAAUGAGCUUUUUAGAUCUCUUAUAUGUAAAAGGCAAAUCUCUUUAUGUGUAAAAGUAAAUCUCCCAUGUAUAAAAAAAGAGACAGAGUUAUAAAACUAAAAACAAGUUUGUAAAGAGCCAAAAACUCAAUUGACCCCGUAACUGCUCAGGCCAUACCUCGAAUCUCGAUGCAAAGUAGGGCAUAUAUAUAUAUAUAUAUAUAUAUAUAUAUAUAUAGUAAUAAGUAAACUAAANNNNNNNNNNNNNNNNNNNNNNNNNUACAUUAUAUAUAUAUAUAAUGUAGAAACUAAAUCGAAAACAUAAGCAUCAUGUAGGCAAACUGAUUAGGUAUAAGCAUAUUAAAUAAAGGUUAUCUAAGGGCAAUAAAGCUUGAUCUAAGGAUUGAUGGUGUUACGAUCCAAAAUUAUGUGACUGAACCUGGUACACUACCUGAUCCAAGUGAAUCGAUCGUACAAGAAUACCCAUUUAUCUAUAUUAUAUUAAAAACACGAAAACUCUUAGCGAAAUGUUGUUCGCUCUUUUACCCUUUAAAAGUAGAGUUCACACUGGACAAAAUAAUCAUUCUUAUUAAUUCCCUAAUAACUAGGAAUAGCUAUUUAAUUAUUUCUCUAAUAUUUAGGAAUAAUUAUUUAAUUAAUUUAAUAAUAUUUAAUACUUUAAAAUCAAGAAAAUCUUUACUAGAAAUAUUUCUUUAUUUAAAAUACAUAAGAAAUCUUAAUAUUUAGGACUUUAUAAUUAAUAAAAGUUUUAUCUUAUUUAAAUUAACAUAAUUUUCAUAUUGAGAUAAUAUGAAUUAUAUUCUUUGAUGGGUGAAACUCACUUGAGGGACAAAAAGUAUGUUUAUUAUUUAAAACUUAAACAUAAUCAUUGCACACACUAUAAUAAUGAUUUAUCUGAAUGCACAUUAAAAUUUACAUGAAAUGUUAAUAGAUUUUCAUGCCUUUUGAGAAUUAUAUUGCAUUACGAUACCUUCAUGUUGCUUAAGAUAAUAAUAAUAAUAAUAAAUAUUAAUUUUUCUACCUUAAAUUUUUAUUAUAAUCAUUUUUUUUCUUCUAAAAACGCAUACAGUUGGGUUUAAACAAUACUCAUCCAGUUAAAUCCUUUGUAUGAAGUUAAACCUAAUAAUAUGGAGCUUUUUUUUUUUAUCUUUUAU